CACUGAGAGAUCCUAAAAUAUCCUUAAUCAAACUAAUGUUGAAAUUUGUGUGUACUUUUGAAGUCAAAUGUAUCUUGAGUAUGAGAAUCCUUUUUAAAGUGGUAAUUCAUACACAGAACAUACCCUGCUGUCUGGUAAUCACUGCUUUGCUCUGAAGUGUAAAGUAGAGGCAAAGACAACAAAAAGCUCAUAACCUAAAAGAGAGAGAGAGGGAGAGCAUGUGCACAUAAACACCUAUGCUAUGACUAGGCCAGACACUAACCAGUACUGAACAAAGGUUUUGCCAAGUAAGGACCAUCUGAAACAUCAGAAAUAUAUGUCUAUGCAGUUUGUGUAUGUACAUACUUUACAUGAACAGCAUUUAGAAAAUUUGUAUUUUGGCCACUGGGGCGGUUCAGUCAGUUAAGUGUCUGCCUUCGGAUCAGGUCUUGAUCCCCACAUAGGGCUCCCUGCUCAUCAGGGAGUCUGCUUCUCUUGCUCCAUCUGCCUGCUGCUUACCCUGUCUGUGCUCUCUCUGUCAAAUAAAUAAAUCUUUAAGAUAAAAAAAGAAAAUUUGUAUUUUAUUUCAUAGUAACUACAUAUAUUGACACAAACUACAUAUAUUGACACUAUUGAAAUCUCUCCUUUCAACUAAAAACUUUACAGUUUUUUUGAGCCAUCCAUUGUUCCAGGUAAUGAGGAAAUUCCUACCCUCAAGCAGUGGGAGAAACAGUCAAGCAAACAGACAUUUCUGCAGGUGGCCAAAAAUAAGACAAAAAUGUAUUCAGUGAAGUCCCUCAAGGAUACAGAAUGUUCAGUCCAGAGAAAAGAAACACAGAAGUGAUCAAAAGAAAUCUUACAUUAAGAAAAGCAUCAGAGGCAUCCAGGUGGCCUAGUCCAUUAAGCAUCUGCCUUUGGCUUGGGUCAUGAUCUCAGGUCCUGGGAUGGAGCCUUCCAUUGGGCUCCCUGCUCAGCAGGAAGUCUGUGUCUCCCGCUCCCUCUGCCCUUCCCCAUCUCGUGCUCUCUCUCUCACACGUAAAUAAAUACAAUCUUAGGGGUGCCUGGGUGGCUCAGUGGUUGAGCGUCUGCCUUCAGUUCAGGGCCUCAUCAAUUCCCAAUUCUGAGAAUUGAGUCCCGCAUCAGGCUCCCUGUGAGGAGCCUGCUUCUCCUUCUGUCUCUGUCUCUGCCUCUGUCUGUGUCUCUCAUCAGUAAAUAAAUAAAAUCUUAAAAAAAAGAAAACAUCUGUAUUUAUUUCAGUGAGGGGUGUGUAUGUGUAUGUGUGUGCUUACACACUUGUGCACACAGUAGGAGAGAGCUAAGAUAUUAAGUAGGAGGUUUAGAGCCUUCUGAUAUAGGGAACAUAUGCUUUGCUACUUAUCACCCUGACCCGGAUCUGGUUUUAAAGACUCUACUAGUCUAUGCCUCAAAUCCUUUUUUCCCAAAGCCCAUCAAAUCGGUAGCAAAUGUGAAACAUUUGCUGGCCUGUCCACCUAAUCCAUCAUAGUACAAUACAAAAAGAUACGAAGAGACUGAGGUGGAUAAAGGAAAUCAAUACCCGUUUCCUGUUCUUUACCUUGAGAUCCUUUGUCUGGUUUCACUAUGUCUUCAACAGAAUAAGAAACAUAGCUUGAAUUCCCAAUCAAAAUCAGAUAAAAUGCAG
RNAcentral lists this long non-coding RNA (1639 nucleotides) under Canis lupus familiaris (dog). Its description in RNAcentral is "lncRNA (ENSCAFG00845020582.1)". Lineage: Eukaryota; Metazoa; Chordata; Mammalia; Carnivora; Canidae. The record is from RNAcentral.